UCAGCUGUCAUGAUGCCUUCCUGUUUUGGAAGAGUUUGGGUAGGCAUUAUGAAGGUUGGUA
This 61-nucleotide microRNA precursor is filed under the name Lottia gigantea (owl limpet). RNAcentral's name for it is "Lgi-Mir-1989_pre stem-loop". Lineage: Eukaryota; Metazoa; Mollusca; Gastropoda; Lottiidae. The record is from RNAcentral.